CUGAUGCAGCGACGCCGCGUGAGCGAUGAAGCCCUUCGGGGUGUAAAGCUCUUUCGGCAGGGAAGAUUAUGACGGUACCUGCAGAAGCAGCUGCGGCUAACUACGUGCCAGCAGCCGCGGUAAUACGUAGGCAGCAAGCGUUGUUCGGAGUUACUGGGCGUAAAGGGUGUGUAGGCGGUUGCUUAAGUUUGGUGUGAAAUCUCCCGGCUUAACCGGGAGGGUGCGCCGAAUACUGAGUGACUAGAGUGCGGGAGAGGAAAGUGGAAUUCCUGGUGUAGCGGUGAAAUGCGUAGAUAUCAGGAGGAACACCGGUGGUGUAAACGGCUUUCUGGACCGUAACUGACGCUGAAACACGAAAGCGUGGGUAGCAAACCGGAUUAAAUACCCUGGUAGUCAA
Molecule: ribosomal RNA, 397 nt
Filed under: uncultured Terriglobales bacterium
Lineage: Bacteria; Pseudomonadati; Acidobacteriota; Terriglobia; Terriglobales
Description: bacterial SSU rRNA
Rfam family: Bacterial small subunit ribosomal RNA
Source: RNAcentral